This 148-nucleotide non-coding RNA is filed under the name Homo sapiens (human). Lineage: Eukaryota; Metazoa; Chordata; Mammalia; Primates; Hominidae. The record is from Rfam by way of RNAcentral.
GCUAGGCAUGGUGAUGUGUGCCUGUAGUCCUAGCUACUCAGGAGUAUGAGGCAGGAGGAUCGCUUGAACCCAGGAUUUCAAGGCUGCAGUGAGCUAUGAUGGCACCACUGCACUCCAGCCUGGGUGACACAGUGAGACCCUGUCUCUA